AGUGAACGCUGGCGGUAGGCCUAACACAUGCAAGUCGAACGGCAGCACAGUAAGAGCUUGCUCUUACGGGUGGCGAGUGGCGGACGGGUGCGGAAUACAUCGGAAUCUACUUUUUCGUGGGGGAUAACGUAGGGAAACUUACGCUAAUACCGCAUACGACCUACGGGUGAAAGCAGGGGAUCUUCGGACCUUGCGCGAUUGAAUGAGCCGAUGUCGGAUUAGCUAGUUGGCGGGGUAAAGGCCCACCAAGGCGACGAUCCGUAGCUGGUCUGAGAGGAUGAUCAGCCACACGGGAACUGAGACGCGGUCCAGACUCCGACGGGAGGCAGCAGUGGGGAAUAUUGGACAAUGGGCGCAAGCCUGAUCCAGCCAUACCGCGUGGGUGAAGAAGGCCUUCGGGUUGUAGAGCCCUUUUGUUGGGAAAGAAAAGCAGCAGGUGAAUACCCCGCUGUUCUGACGGUACCCAAAGAAUAAGCACCGGCUAACUUCGUG
Molecule: ribosomal RNA, 492 nt
Filed under: uncultured bacterium
Lineage: Bacteria
Description: partial 16S ribosomal RNA
Rfam family: Bacterial small subunit ribosomal RNA
Source: RNAcentral